Molecule: ribosomal RNA, 462 nt
Filed under: uncultured bacterium
Lineage: Bacteria
Description: partial 16S ribosomal RNA
Rfam family: Bacterial small subunit ribosomal RNA
Source: RNAcentral
GACGAACGCUGGCGGCGUGCUUAACACAUGCAGGUCGAACGGAAAGGCCCUUCGGGGUACUCGAGUGGCGAACGGGUGAGUAACACGUGGGUGAUCUGCCCUGCACUUUGGGAUAAGCCUGGGAAACUGGGUCUAAUACCGAAUAGGACCACGCGCUUCAUGGUGUGUGGUGGCAAGCUUUUGCGGUGUGGGAUGGGCCCGCGGCCUAUCAGCUUGUUGGUGGGGUAAUGGCCUACCAAGGCGACGACGGGUAGCCGGCCUGAGAGGGUGACCGGCCACACUGGGACUGAGAUACGGCCCAGACUCCUACGGGAGGCAGCAGUGGGGAAUAUUGCACAAUGGGCGCAAGCCUGAUGCAGCGACGCCGCGUGAGGGAUGACGGCCUUCGGGUUGUAAACCUCUUUCAAUAGGGACGAAGCGCAAGUGACGGUACCUAUAGAAGAAGCACCGGCCAACUACGUG